RNAcentral lists this transfer RNA (69 nucleotides) under Hylastes attenuatus. Its description in RNAcentral is "tRNA-Trp". It matches the Rfam family "tRNA". From Rfam's summary of the family: Transfer RNA (tRNA) molecules are approximately 80 nucleotides in length. Their secondary structure includes four short double-helical elements and three loops (D, anti-codon, and T loops). Lineage: Eukaryota; Metazoa; Arthropoda; Insecta; Coleoptera; Curculionidae. The record is from RNAcentral.
AAGAAUUUAAGUUAAAUUAAAACUAUUAGCCUUCAAAGCCAAAAUUAGAUGAAUUAAAUCUAAUUCUUA